Astatotilapia calliptera (eastern happy) is the source of this 372-nucleotide long non-coding RNA. NCBI's taxonomy places the organism in Eukaryota, Metazoa, Chordata, Actinopteri, Cichliformes, Cichlidae. The record is from Ensembl.
UAUCAGCAGGAAGCAAACAGGGGAGGUGACAGAGAGCAAGAGAGAACUCUGCAGUGGGAGAAAGCUCAUUCACUUCAACCACAGCUGAGACAAACCAUGCCCAGUGCACCACAGUUUCCAGGGUGGAGAGCCCACAGGAGGCCACCCUGGGAUCCAAGGAAGAAGAGGAAAAAACAAGCCAUGCUGCUUAGUGGCUCUCCCAGGGGCACUGAGCAUGGAACAAACACAUUUUAAUUGUGUUCACUGCACUGCAAGACACUUAAAAAACAAUUAUGUGUCACUACACAAAACUAAACGUUACCUCAUAGGGGGGAUUACCAUGCAGUGCUGGUUUUAAAAAAAAAAGUACCAGAAAAUGCUGAAACUAAUUCC